RNAcentral lists this ribosomal RNA (255 nucleotides) under uncultured bacterium. RNAcentral's name for it is "partial 16S ribosomal RNA". It matches the Rfam family "Bacterial small subunit ribosomal RNA", at positions 524 to 776 of the family's 1533-position model. The record is from RNAcentral.
UACGUAGGGUGCGAGCGUUAAUCGGAAUUACUGGGCGUAAAGCGUGCGCAGGCGGUUUGCUAAGACCGAUGUGAAAUCCCCCGGGCUUAACCUGGGAACUGCAUUGGUGACUGGCAGGCUAGAGUAUGGCAGAGGGGGGGUAGAAUUCCACGUGUAGCAGUGAAAUGCGUAGAGAUGUGGAGGAAUACCGAUGGCGAAGGCAGCCCCCUGGGCCAAUACUGACGCUCAUGCACGAAAGCGUGGGGAGCAAACAGG